UGAGGAAUCUUGCACAAUGGGCGAAAGCCUGAUGCAGCGACGCCGCGUGGAGGAUGAAGGUCUUCGGAUUGUAAACUCCUGUUAAGUGGGAAGAAAAGCCCCUUUCUAAUACAGAGGGGAUAUGACGGUACCACUAGAGAAAGCACCGGCUAACUUCGUGCCAGCAGCCGCGGUAAUACGAGGGGUGCAAGCGUUAUUCGGAAUCAUUGGGCGUAAAGGGCGUGUAGACGGUAUAUUAAGUCAACUGUUAAAUUCUCCGGCCUAACCGGGGGCAAUGCAGUAGAUACUGAUGUGCUAGAGGGUGGAAGAGAGAAGUGGAAUUCUCGGAGUAGCGGUAAAAUGCGUAGAUCUCGAGAGGAACACCGAUGGCGAAGGCAGCUUCUUGGUCCACAUCUGACGU
RNAcentral lists this ribosomal RNA (400 nucleotides) under uncultured bacterium. Its description in RNAcentral is "bacterial SSU rRNA". It matches the Rfam family "Bacterial small subunit ribosomal RNA", at positions 355 to 746 of the family's 1533-position model. The record is from RNAcentral.